Molecule: ribosomal RNA, 402 nt
Filed under: uncultured bacterium
Lineage: Bacteria
Description: bacterial SSU rRNA
Rfam family: Bacterial small subunit ribosomal RNA
Source: RNAcentral
UGGGGAAUCUUGGACAAUGGGGGCAACCCUGAUCCAGCCAUGCCGCGUGAGUGAUGAAGGCCUUAGGGUCGUAAAGCUCUUUCGCCUGUGAAGAUAAUGACGGUAGCCGGAGAAGAAGUCCCGGCUAACUCCGUGCCAGCAGCCGCGGUAAUACGGAGGGGGACUAGCGUUGUUCGGAAUUACUGGGCGUAAAGAGUUCGUAGGCGGACUAGCAAGUUAGAGGUGAAAUCCCAGGGCUCAACCUUGGAACUGCCUUUAAAAGCUGCUAGUCUAGAGACCGGAAGAGGUUAGGGGAAUACCUAGUGUAGAGGUGAAAUUCGUAGAUAUUAGGUGGAACACCAGUGGCGAAGGCGCCUAACUGGUCCGGUACUGACGCUGAGGAACGAAAGCGUGGGGAGCAAA